Long non-coding RNA from Pteropus alecto (black flying fox), 1351 nucleotides. RefSeq lists it as uncharacterized. The transcript has 5 exons. Lineage: Eukaryota; Metazoa; Chordata; Mammalia; Chiroptera; Pteropodidae. The record is from RefSeq and is a predicted model, not a curated record.
ACUUGGCAAAGUCUGCUUGACUCGGAAAAAAACUGUCUUAAAGAAAUGAAGUCUGCGUGCGGUUACAACUACAUGGCCCCAGACAAUCAGGCCUUAUCAUGGGUCAGGAAGCUGUGUGGGAAUUCUGUCAAUUGCUAAAGAUAUCCAUUCCAGCUAUUACCCACCCUGGGUUAAUAACGACAAGGAGAUUCAGUGCCCUGUUGUCCUUCUAUGAAGAGAACUCAGAUAAACUGGCUCACGGCAUCAUAAUUCAAGACAGAUUUUUCUCCUGGAAGAGAAGAAGAGGAAAAAAGGAGGGGAUAAAAGAAGGAAAAGAAGAAAGAAAUGAAGAAAGAAUAAGGCAGUGUAGGAAUAAGGGAAGUAUCUCAGGACUUUGUUCUUGAAGGAAGCUCUGUCUGUCAUCACGGGUGGGGGUUGCUGCUCAUGGCCGGGAAUUCCAUCCAGCCUUUUCUCCUGUGGCUCCCCAGCACCCUCUCAGUACCAGCCCAGCUGACGAAAUUGAAAAGACAGGAGCUGUGGAGAGCUGAAUUCUCUGCAUGAUACAAGGAAAGAAUUUGGAGUUUCCCAUAGAAUUUAAAUGGGAAAAAAAUAAUAGGAACAAAGGAAGAGAAACCAUCAAGACAAUGCGAUGCCAGGUGUUGAGAAAAAUUCAGUAGCAAAGGAACUUUUAAAAAACAGGAUAGGUAAUUUUUUAUUUUUAUGUUGCUUGCUAAUUAUUGGGGUUCUACUUCAGGAUACAAUGCAAUCACUCGUGUGAAAUAUGUCUGCCACCAUUAGACAAACAAAAACAAAACUGGACAAAAUAUGGAAAGCAAAAGUUUUCUGGCAUUGGAUAAUAGGCAGCACAAGACUGGGAUCCCUGACAGAAGGGUCGUUCACAACGGGAGCCCCACAAUUGCCGCCAGCUCUCUUUCUGGGAAUAAUUUCCCCCACUGCAGAGUACUGAGCUUGAAUCCAUGCACAACAUAUGAUUCUGAUGAGCUGAGGAAGGAGAACUCAGAGAUCAGAACAGCUGAAAUGUCUAGAAUUGUGAGGGAAGGCAGAGGGAGGAGUAAACUGCACAGACAGGAGUCCCUAGAAGUUUGUGUCUUAUAGAGUCAUUGGCUGAAAGCUAAGCUAUGUAUAUGCUCAUGGAGAAAGUACACAGGCUUGCCAGAGAGCAGCUAUAACAAGGUAGAGAAUAGAACAAAGAUACUACAAGUUAAGCAGUGCUAGAGAACAGAAAAGAUUCAGUUCAGCCAUAAAGUAGAAAUUGUUCAUACUCAGGCCUCCAGCUGAGACACCAAAAGGAGAAUAACAUAAGAAUGAGGACCACAUCCUAACGUAAGGCAUAGUCUUAGUAACUACUGAC